AUGAGGCAUCAGGAGGACAUGGGUCAGAGGCCUGAGCUGGACAGAGCAGGCUCCUGAGUCCCCCCCUCUCCACGGGGUCUCCCUGGUCCCCAGACCCGGACCUGCUCCCUCUAGAACAGCCCCGUGGAACAGUCCGUGUGGUUGACAUACUCUACUUCUGGGCUGUCCGCUCUGGUAACCACACGUGACUGCUGCCCUUGAAAUUUAAGUGAAAGAAACUGAAACGUCAGAUCGCCAGGGGCAGGAGCAGCGGGUCGCGGGGCGGCUCGGUGGUGCCACCAGGCUAAUGCCACCCUCACUGGGUGAUGGGCACCUGCAGCGUCCCCUUCCCGCGGGAGGUGGUGGGGGCAGCGCCGCUCUCCCCCGUCUUCCCCCCUCGCAGAGACGGACACCCGGUAGGAGGGCCCAGGCACAGGCAUCCUCAGCUCUGCCUUCCGUUUUCACAGCUCCCCUUGAUGCGGUGGAUCUGCUCUCCUGGGAGUGAAGACGCCAAGACCCGAUGUCCCGGAGCUGCCCGCCGAAGCCACGAGGUGAGCAGGCUCCACGUGGCCCGUGUGUUUCCUCCUUUCUGUGACUACAGGGGGCAGGGCCCAAACCUCGUCAACCCCUGGUGUCCAGCCUGUGCGUCCGAGCUGAAAUCGCCAGUGGUGGCUUUGGCUGCCAUCCUGACCGUGGCAAAGCCCUGAAAGCCUCGAAAGAUCCGUAGUUCAUCUCAAGGGAAAGUCUAUUUCUCAUUCAGGUAACAUUUCGGAAUGGGUGCUCGCACACCGGCAGCUGGAGCUCCUCCACGGGGUGACUAAUGUUCCCAGGAUUCUUCCACCUUUUUGGCUUUGGCAUCACCUAAGACCUUGGCGGACUUACUCUGCUACCAAAGUGGGGAAGGAGAAAGAGUGAAAAUGGCACACUCACUUCUUUUAGAGAAGAAUUCCGACGUGGCAUCUAUCCUGUCUGCUCUGGUUUAGCCGAGGAAGAUUAGUCAUGGGUCCACAGCUGGGUGCAAGAUAGACUGGGUCUAGCGCCCGGUGGGACAGUGUCCUCCCGUGAGGACACCACAUCAUAUAAAAGAAGCCAUGAAAGUUGGGUGCACAGUAGGCCAUGGCUGCUCCCAUGGGAGAUGCGCUAGGGGAAAAGAGGGCCGUGAUUCCGGGUAAAAGGAGGCAUGACCUUGAGUCCAGACCUCAGGGCAGGCUCGCCUGAUGAUGCUGAGACUCCGUGGGAGGGUGAGUGAGGAUUGAUGAAGUGUCCACACGGGAAAGCAGAGGAGACAGCUUUCAAGAAAACCUCGAGUCAGGAAAUAAUUUUGCCAAUUCUAAGGAGUCGAGAUGAUCCCGACAGCGUGGAGACGGGAAAGCAUUGAGGAGACGCUUCAAUAGGGACUGAAUGUGUAGGGCUUUGUAAAAGGCUCUGUAAAGAUUUGGGAUUUUAUCUUUAGGAGAACGGGAAAGGUUUUGCACAUAAGCCUGGCAAAAUCAGAUUUUUUUUUUUUGUCUACAUUGUAUUUAUAUGACCACUUCCUCCAGACGGAAUCAGAGGAGGCCUAAAAAUAACAGCUAGGAGUUCCCAUCCUGGCACAGCAAACUGAAUCCGACUAGGAACCAUGAGGUUGCAGGUUGGAUCCCUGG
This is a non-coding RNA of Sus scrofa (pig), 1622 nucleotides long. The record is from RefSeq and is a predicted model, not a curated record. Lineage: Eukaryota; Metazoa; Chordata; Mammalia; Artiodactyla; Suidae.